This 1151-nucleotide ribosomal RNA is filed under the name uncultured bacterium. Its description in RNAcentral is "bacterial SSU rRNA". It matches the Rfam family "Bacterial small subunit ribosomal RNA", at positions 40 to 1182 of the family's 1533-position model. The record is from RNAcentral.
CUACAGGCUUAACACAUGCAAGUCGAGGGGAAACGAUAUUGGAAGCUUGCUUCCGAUAGGCGUCGACCGGCGCACGGGUGAGUAACGCGUAUCCAACCUGCCCACCACUUGGGGAUAACCUUGCGAAAGUAAGACUAAUACCCAAUGAUAUCUCUAGGAGACAUCUGAAAGAGAUUAAAGAUUUAUCGGUGAUGGAUGGGGAUGCGUCUGAUUAGCUUGUUGGCGGGGUAACGGCCCACCAAGGCAACGAUCAGUAGGGGUUCUGAGAGGAAGGUCCCCCACAUUGGAACUGAGACACGGUCCAAACUCCUACGGGAGGCAGCAGUGAGGAAUAUUGGUCAAUGGACGAGAGUCUGAACCAGCCAAGUAGCGUGCAGGAAGACGGCCCUAUGGGUUGUAAACUGCUUUUAUAAGGGAAUAAAGUGAGUCUCGUGAGACUUUUUGCAUGUACCUUAUGAAUAAGGACCGGCUAAUUCCGUGCCAGCAGCCGCGGUAAUACGGAAGGUCCGGGCGUUAUCCGGAUUUAUUGGGUUUAAAGGGAGCGUAGGCCGGAGAUUAAGCGUGUUGUGAAAUGUAGACGCUCAACAUCUGCACUGCAGCGCGAACUGGUUUCCUUGAGUACGCACAAAGUGGGCGGAAUUCGUGGUGUAGCGGUGAAAUGCUUAGAUAUCACGAAGAACUCCGAUUGCGAAGGCAGCUCACUGGAGCGCAACUGACGCUGAAGCUCGAAAGUGCGGGUAUCGAACAGGAUUAGAUACCCUGGUAGUCCGCACGGUAAACGAUGGAUGCCCGCUGUUGGUCUGAAUAGGUCAGCGGCCAAGCGAAAGCAUUAAGCAUCCCACCUGGGGAGUACGCCGGCAACGGUGAAACUCAAAGGAAUUGACGGGGGCCCGCACAAGCGGAGGAACAUGUGGUUUAAUUCGAUGAUACGCGAGGAACCUUACCCGGGCUUGAAUUGCAGAGGAAGGAUUUGGAGACAAUGACGCCCUUCGGGGCCUCUGUGAAGGUGCUGCAUGGUUGUCGUCAGCUCGUGCCGUGAGGUGUCGGCUUAAGUGCCAUAACGAGCGCAACCCCUCUCCUUAGUUGCCAUCAGGUCAAGCUGGGCACUCUGGGGACACUGCCACCGUAAGGUGUGAGGAAGGUGGGGAUGA